This 406-nucleotide ribosomal RNA is filed under the name uncultured bacterium. RNAcentral's name for it is "partial 16S ribosomal RNA". It matches the Rfam family "Bacterial small subunit ribosomal RNA", at positions 29 to 526 of the family's 1533-position model. The record is from RNAcentral.
AUUGAACGCUGGCGGCAGGCCUAACACAUGCAAGUCGAACGAGUGGCGGACGGGUGAGUAAUGUCUGGGAAACUGCCUGAUGGAGGGGGAUAACUACUGGAAACGGUAGCUAAUACCGCAUACCAUCGGAUGUGCCCAGAUGGGAUUAGCUAGUAGGUGGGGUAAAGGCUCACCUAGGCGACGAUCCCUAGCUGGUCUGAGAGGAUGACCGGCCAAACUGGGACUGAGACACGGUCCAGACUCCUACGGGAGGCAGCAGUAGGGAAUAUUGGGCAAUGGGCGAAAGCCUGAUGGAGCCAUGCCGCGUGAGUGAAGAAGGCCUUCGGGUUGUAAAGUACUGUCGGCGGGGAGGCGGUACCCGAAGAGGAAGCCACGGCUAACUCCGUGCCAGCCGCCGCGGUAAUUC